UCCCAACUUUCCCCCGAAUUUCGACUUUCUCUCUCAAUCGACAGUCGCCAUCGUUGCGAGAUCUCUCUCUCUUUCUCUCUCUAACAAUGUAAUCCGACUUCUCUCAGCCUGCCUCGAAGCAACUUCUUGGCUGGCUGUCGAUCAUCUCGACCGCUCAGCCGACUCAACUCGACGCAGCUCCGGCGGUGGCCGGGGGCUCGAAGAUGGUGCCCACCGCCUCCCCGAAGAAGCCCUUGUACUCCAUCCUGACCCAUAACCUCGCCAAGCUCACUAUCCCGCCGUCCUCGUCCUCCGCUCCUCUGUCCUCUUCCCCCUCUCAAGACUUUGAUUUCUCCGAGGUCUUUGGUCCUAUCACUCCCCACCCUCUCCACCCUAACCCUAAUCCUUCGUCCUCCACUUCUUCCAAUUUGCACCCGCCGGUUAUUCAGAACCGGUCCCACUCCUUCGUCGGCCCAUCCCCUCGAUAUGCCCACUCCAGGUCUCUCCCUUUCAUAGACUCUUCUGAAGAUGAAGGAGAUGAAGAUGAUGAUGAUGAUGAUGAUGAUGAAAAGGGAGGGAUUUUGACUGGGAAUGAACGAGAAAGCUCGGAUACUGGUGGCGUGGAUGGAAAAGAAAUCGUGAAGAGUGGUGCUAAGAUCGGGCCAGGGGAUUUCGAGAUACUGCGAGUGGUGGGGAAGGGUGCUUUCGGGAAGGUUUUUCAGGUGAGGAAGAAGGGUGGGCACGGCGAGGACAGCAAGGGCGAUGGGCUAUACGCAAUGAAAGUCAUGAGGAAAGAGACGAUCAUAAAGAAGAAUCACGUGGAUUAUAUGAAGGCCGAGAGGGACAUUCUCGCCAAAGUUGUGCACCCCUUUGUGGUUCCUCUCCGAUAUUCUUUCCAGACCAAGUCGAAGCUUUAUUUGAUCCUGGACUUCAUAAACGGAGGGCAUCUCUUCUUUCAUCUUUACCGACAAGGGAUAUUUAGUGAGGAUCAGGCGCGGUUUUAUACUGCUGAGAUAGUAUCUGCUGUUUCACAUCUUCACAAAUGCGGAAUUGUUCACCGGGAUCUUAAACCUGAAAAUAUUCUCAUGGAUGCGGAUGGACAUGUAAUGCUUACUGACUUCGGUCUAGCAAAGGAAAUUGACGAGUCAAGCAGAUCAAAUUCAAUGUGUGGAACCACCGAAUACAUGGCUCCUGAAAUUCUGCUUUCUAAAGGCCACAAUAAAGAUGCAGAUUGGUGGAGCGUUGGGAUACUUCUAUAUGAAAUGUUAAAUGGACAGCCACCAUUUACGCACGCAAAUAGGCGGAAGCUUCAGCAGAGAAUUAUCAAUGAGAAAAUUAAACUUCCACCACGCUUGACUAGUGAAGCUCAUUCUUUGCUCAAAGGACUGCUACAGAAGGAACCAUCUAAAAGAUUCGGAAGUGGACCAAAAGGUGGAGAAGAGAUUAAAGGUCACAAAUGGUUCCGAUCAAUCAACUGGAAAAAAUUGGAGGCUCGAGAGGUGCAACCAAAUUUCAAGCCGGAUGUUUCUGGAAAAGAUUGUAUAGCCAACUUUGAUAGAUGCUGGACUGCAAUGCCUCCAGAUGACUCACCUGCGCCAACACCUACUGCAGGUGAACAUUUUCAGGGUUAUACCUACAUUCCCCCUAAUCCUUGGCUUUCAUCCAGUUCUGUGGAAGGGAAACACCCACCGUAGCAGUAGUGGAAGUGGAAAUAAGCUACUGUAAGUUUGCAUUAGUUGAGGGAAUUAGAGAUAACCACAGUUUAACAUUGCUUGAUUUAAGUAUAUUCUCACUGAGUUGCUUUGUUCGAUGUUUUUGAACUGUAGCUACUUGUACCCUGCUGUAUUUCUUUAUAUUUUUAGUAGUUUAGGGACAUCCCUUUAGUAAUCAAAUCUGCUUCUUCAA
Rhodamnia argentea is the source of this 1884-nucleotide RNA transcript. It is a transcript of the gene named serine/threonine-protein kinase AtPK1/AtPK6-like, with no coding region annotated. Lineage: Eukaryota; Viridiplantae; Streptophyta; Magnoliopsida; Myrtales; Myrtaceae. The record is from RefSeq and is a predicted model, not a curated record. The transcript is spliced from 7 exons.